Molecule: long non-coding RNA, 1676 nt
Organism: Oncorhynchus tshawytscha (Chinook salmon)
Lineage: Eukaryota; Metazoa; Chordata; Actinopteri; Salmoniformes; Salmonidae
Source: Ensembl
GCGGCCUGUCAGUGGAGGGUGCAAUACAACGCAAAAAAAAUCUAACCUGUUCCAAAUAAAUAAUUGAUGGAUUGCGGCAGGAUGAUAUUUCGCAAUAUUAUGUGAACAGCGUCAUGAAACAAAACGUGUGCUCGUAUUUAAUUUUUCGUCCAUGUUAUUGAGAAAGGGCUUUUAGCCAAAUGGUAAGUCGACUCAUAUUGAGUGUGUAAAGUAAUCUAUGGCAAGUCAAAGGAAGGGAUGGAUAGGGUUAGAGCUGUACACAAGGUUCAGAUGUAAGCAUAGCAGGCUAACCAUGUUCUCACACUGAUCCUCACCUAGCAUAGCAGGCUAACCAUGUUCUCACACUGAUCCUCACCUAGCAUAGCAGGCUAACCAUGUUCUCACACUGAUCCUCACCUAGCAUAGCAGGCUAACCAUGUUCUCACACUGAUCCUCACCUAGCAUAGCAGGCUAACCAUGUUCUCACACUGAUCCUCACCUAGCAUAGCAGGCUAACCAUGGUCUCACACGGAUCCUCACCCAGCCAUACAUGAAUGUGUAAAAAUGGACAACCAGCAGCAUUCCAGUUCGCUGGGCAUUACCUCACUAGCAUAGAGGUGGUUAGAUACAGGACACUACCAUAGAGGUGGUUAGAUACAGGACACUACCAUAGAGGUGGUUAGAUACAGGACACUACCAUAGAGGUGGUUAGAUACAGGACACUACCAUAGAGGUGGUUAGAUAAGGACAAUACCAUAGAGGUGGUUAGAUAAGGACAAUACCAUAGAGGUGGUUAGAUAAGGACAAUACCAUAGAGGUGGUUAGAUAAGGACACUGCCAUAGAGGUUGUCAGAUACAGGACACUACCAUAGAGGUGGUUAGAUACAGGACACUGCCAUAGAGGUUGUCAGAUACAGGACACUACCAUAGAGGUGGUUAGAUACAGGACACUAGCAUAGAGGUGGUUAGAUACAGGACAAUACCAUAGAGGUGGUUAGAUACAGGACACUAGCAUAGAGGUGGUUAGAUACAGGACACUACCAUAGAGGUGGUUAGAUACAGGACACUAGCAUAGAGGUGGUUAGAUACAGGACACUACCAUAGAGGUGGUUAGAUACAGGACACUAGCAUAGAGGUGGUUAGAUACAGGACACUACCAUAGAGGUGGUUAGAUAAGGACACUACCAUAGAGGUGGUUAGAUACAGGACACUACCAUAGAGGUGGUUAGAUACAGGACACUACCAUAGAGGUGGUUAGAUAAGGACAUUAGUGUAGAGGUGGUUAGAUACACGACACUGUCUUUAGGGUGCUUGGAGUGCAGUAGGCCCUAACGAUAGACACUUGAACCUCAACUUUGAUGUGCAGAAGUAAUAUGAUCCACUGUAUAAGCCAACAACAACAACAACAACAACAUGCUUCUGUGUCAUUGUAUUCUUUGACUCAACUCAAGGAUAUGUAACAUAUUAUUGGAGAGGUAAACCUUCUCAUGUGAUGUACAGUUGUAUUUUAAUACACAGAAUCAGCACUACAGUCCCAGGAACAGGACGUGAACCAUCCAAAUCUCUUGUUGUGUACAUUACAGAGUGACGUUACUUAGCAUUCGGUAGUAGUUCUUUAAACAGACACCAGCUUGGUUAACUUAGUGUAAUGAACAACAGUCUAAGGUCUGUGUCCCAAAUGGCACUCUAUCCCCUGC